This is a long non-coding RNA of Podarcis raffonei (Aeolian wall lizard), 1158 nucleotides long. RefSeq lists it as uncharacterized. The transcript is spliced from 3 exons. Lineage: Eukaryota; Metazoa; Chordata; Lepidosauria; Squamata; Lacertidae. The record is from RefSeq and is a predicted model, not a curated record.
AACUGCUUCCUUUGCCUGUAACCUCUCACUUGGUUACCUUCAACUGCAAUCAUAGCUUCUAGUGAUAAAACAUUUGAAUUAUCAGAGCUGCCGAUAGGCACUAAUAACUAACAAGUAAUCUCUAAAUGCUCUAUUGUAAUUAUAGCAGCAAUACAGUUGUGUGUCUUCUGGCUGAAGGUCAACUAGGUGAGUAUCUUGUGCUUGGCUGAGGGGAAAAUCUCUGUUGUGUUCUGCCUGCAACUCUUGUACAAAGAUUCUUUCAGGUCGCAGUGAGGGGGACCAUGCAAGCACCCUGAGCCUGUUGGAGAAAAGGUAGGCUCUAAAUGGAAUCAUACAUUAAAUAUGCAAACUAAGUAUUCCAAAGAGCUUGUAUUGAGCAACAUUGGUUAUUCAAUCCCUUUUUCAGAAGAGCUGUGAACUCGAAAGCCGAAUGUGGUCGCUCUCCGUGCUUCUACCUGGAGGGACUUCUCUUGUCGGGACACCACUGCAGGGGAGGCCCCUUCCUGUGCCAUCACCACACAAUAAGUUCUGUCCAAGAGCCCACCACACUCAGGUGAAGCCAGCUCUUCCUGCAGAAGUCAGACCAGCAGAAGGAACUUCCAGGCCCAUGAAUUCACACUUUGGAGGGACAAACAAAAAGGUGAGCAUAAAGGCAGAGUUUGAAGACUGGAACCAGUCUCUCUGUUCUGCCCUGCAAAUUAAUGGCAGUCAACAUGGCACUCAUGGCAAUAUGACUUAAACACAUCUAGGUGAAUAUCCCUUGCUAAUGGCAAGGGAUAAAACCUCGAUUGUGUUCUGUCUGCAACUUCAUAAUUCUUAAGGGUUUUCUUUUUCCCUGAGAGAACAUUCUGUAUUGAGAGUGUUCUCUCAGGUUUUGCUUUUCACCUUGUUGCAUUGGCCAAAAAAAAGCAAAAGACGCUGGUGGUUGGCGCUCCUGGUUUCCAGGACGGGGUUCAAGCCCCUGCGGUGUCCCUGCUUACUUCCAAUGCAACCUCUCUCUCUCUCUCUCUCUCUAUCUAUCUAUCUAUCUAUCUCUCCCCCUUAAGAACUAAGUGAAGCGCAAAGUGCUCCUCUGAUGCAUCACUGGUGUGUGUCUAAGACAAGGUGGAUUACAUGGAUGCUUCCCAUCCUAGCACUCCUUGCCAUAGGGAACAAAAU